AAUGAGUUGAAUAAGUCAUAUCUUGAAUCUUGUCAGCAAUAUAAAACAAAGAAAGAGGCCAAAUUGGCUCUCAUUGCAGAGCGACGACAGGAGGUUCAGUCAGUUAUCUCUGAAGCCUCUGUUCAAUCAUCUGUGGAGUCAUUUUGGUGGAUUUCAGUAGACUGGCUACACCAAUGGGCAGACACCAUCACUCCUACGACUUGAUUAUGAAUACAAAGCCAUCCAUCUGUUCAAACGAGAGCAACACAGUCCUGUUAACAAACUAAAAUUGUUCAAAAAUCUCAUCAGUCCAAAUUAGAAGCAAAUCUAGCUAGAAGAACAGAACACUACUCUUCUGAGAACAUGCGGGUUAUUAAAGGUUUUACGUUCUCCCAUACUAAUCAUGAUCACACAGCUGCAGAUGCACACACUAUCUUACAUACUAUAACCAUCACAAUUAGAUUGUUGAUCAUCCAUCAAAGUAGUAAAACAGUCAAAUUUUUACAUACUAUAACUAUGCUAUUGAAAUGUUCUGAUGGCUUAUUGACUUGUAGAUAAAGAGGGAAAUUGUCACAGUUAGCGGUUCACAUGAAAUUAUUGCAUUAUGGCUAACACCUUUGCAGACACCUUGCAAUCAGACGAGGCUUCAUCAUCUAGGCAAAGUAACAAACGUGGUUCUACUCACGCAGACUAUAAAAAAGUUAGAAAAGAGAUGGCAGGUGAUAGGUAGAGUAUCAAGUUUUGCGAGGAGUUUAGGGCGGAUGUUAGAAAAUGGAUUUAUAGAWUGAUUGAAUGUU
Molecule: long non-coding RNA, 776 nt
Organism: Cynara cardunculus var. scolymus (artichoke)
Lineage: Eukaryota; Viridiplantae; Streptophyta; Magnoliopsida; Asterales; Asteraceae
Exons: 3
Source: RefSeq, a predicted model, not a curated record